UGAGUGAAUCGGGCGGCCGCUCGAAAUGAGAGGAAAGUCCGAGCUUCACAGGGCAGGACGGUGGGUAACACCCACUCCGGGUAACCGGCAGGAAAGUGCCACAGAGAAUAGACUGCCUGGCUUGCCAGGUAACGGUGAAACGGUGGGGUAAGAGCCCACCAGCGUUCCAGGUGACUGGAUCGGCUAGGUAAACCCCGUCCGAAGAAAGGCCAAAUAAGGAAGGAUGAGGCUGCUCGUCUCAAGUUACUUCCGGGUAGGCCGUUAGAGAGGGCCGGCAACGGCCCUCGCAGAUGAAUGGUCGCCACCCUUAUGGGUACAGGACUCGGCUUAUAGAUUCACUUAACAA
Molecule: RNase P RNA, 346 nt
Filed under: Planctomycetota bacterium
Lineage: Bacteria; Pseudomonadati; Planctomycetota
Description: RNase P RNA component class A
Rfam family: Bacterial RNase P class A
About the family: Ribonuclease P (RNase P) is a ubiquitous endoribonuclease, found in archaea, bacteria and eukarya as well as chloroplasts and mitochondria.
Source: RNAcentral